UCUCCUAAAGUGUCUUGUUUGUGCCAAGC
RNAcentral lists this non-coding RNA (29 nucleotides) under Rattus norvegicus (Norway rat). Lineage: Eukaryota; Metazoa; Chordata; Mammalia; Rodentia; Muridae. The record is from RNAcentral.